This 73-nucleotide ribosomal RNA is filed under the name Symphyogyna brongniartii. RNAcentral describes it as "partial 5.8S ribosomal RNA". It matches the Rfam family "5.8S ribosomal RNA", at positions 84 to 154 of the family's 154-position model. From Rfam's summary of the family: 5.8S ribosomal RNA (5.8S rRNA) is a component of the large subunit of the eukaryotic ribosome. Lineage: Eukaryota; Viridiplantae; Streptophyta; Jungermanniopsida; Pallaviciniales; Pallaviciniaceae. RNAcentral also lists the same sequence under 5 other names. The record is from RNAcentral.
GUGAAUCAUCGAGUUUUUGAACGCAUGUUGCGCCCGAGGCUUGUCCCGAGGGCAUGCCUGCCUGAGCGUCACC